This 1474-nucleotide ribosomal RNA is filed under the name Staphylococcus haemolyticus. RNAcentral describes it as "bacterial SSU rRNA". It matches the Rfam family "Bacterial small subunit ribosomal RNA". Lineage: Bacteria; Bacillati; Bacillota; Bacilli; Caryophanales; Staphylococcaceae. The record is from RNAcentral.
AGGAAUACAUCGGAAUCUACUCUGUCGUGGGGGAUAACGUAGGGAAACUUACGCUAAUACGCAGUCGAGCGAACAGACAAGGAGCUUGCUCCUUUGACGUUAGCGGCGGACGGGUGAGUAACACGUGGGUAACCUACCUAUAAGACUGGGAUAACUUCGGGAAACCGGAGCUAAUACCGGAUAAUAUUUCGAACCGCAUGGUUCGAUAGUGAAAGAUGGUUUUGCUAUCACUUAUAGAUGGACCCGCGCCGUAUUAGCUAGUUGGUAAGGUAACGGCUUACCAAGGCGACGAUACGUAGCCGACCUGAGAGGGUGAUCGGCCACACUGGAACUGAGACACGGUCCAGACUCCUACGGGAGGCAGCAGUAGGGAAUCUUCCGCAAUGGGCGAAAGCCUGACGGAGCAACGCCGCGUGAGUGAUGAAGGUCUUCGGAUCGUAAAACUCUGUUAUUAGGGAAGAACAUACGUGUAAGUAACUAUGCACGUCUUGACGGUACCUAAUCAGAAAGCCACGGCUAACUACGUGCCAGCAGCCGCGGUAAUACGUAGGUGGCAAGCGUUAUCCGGAAUUAUUGGGCGUAAAGCGCGCGUAGGCGGUUUUUUAAGUCUGAUGUGAAAGCCCACGGCUCAACCGUGGAGGGUCAUUGGAAACUGUAAAACUUGAGUGCAGAAGAGGAAAGUGGAAUUCCAUGUGUAGCGGUGAAAUGCGCAGAGAUAUGGAGGAACACCAGUGGCGAAGGCGACUUUCUGGUCUGUAACUGACGCUGAUGUGCGAAAGCGUGGGGAUCAAACAGGAUUAGAUACCCUGGUAGUCCACGCCGUAAACGAUGAGUGCUAAGUGUUAGGGGGUUUCCGCCCCUUAGUGCUGCAGCUAACGCAUUAAGCACUCCGCCUGGGGAGUACGACCGCAAGGUUGAAACUCAAAGGAAUUGACGGGGACCCGCACAAGCGGUGGAGCAUGUGGUUUAAUUCGAAGCAACGCGAAGAACCUUACCAAAUCUUGACAUCCUUUGACAACUCUAGAGAUAGAGCCUUCCCCUUCGGGGGACAAAGUGACAGGUGGUGCAUGGUUGUCGUCAGCUCGUGUCGUGAGAUGUUGGGUUAAGUCCCGCAACGAGCGCAACCCUUAAGCUUAGUUGCCAUCAUUAAGUUGGGCACUCUAAGUUGACUGCCGGUGACAAACCGGAGGAAGGUGGGGAUGACGUCAAAUCAUCAUGCCCCUUAUGAUUUGGGCUACACACGUGCUACAAUGGACAAUACAAAGGGCAGCGAAACCGCGAGGUCAAGCAAAUCCCAUAAAGUUGUUCUCAGUUCGGAUUGUAGUCUGCAACUCGACUACAUGAAGCUGGAAUCGCUAGUAAUCGUAGAUCAGCAUGCUACGGUGAAUACGUUCCCGGGUCUUGUACACACCGCCCGUCACACCACGAGAGUUUGUAACACCCGAAGCCGGUGGAGUAACCAUUUGGAGCUAGC